GUAUCAUAAAUUAGAUAUCGCUAAACGAUACUUGUAUUCGAUAAGGCUGCGGACAUUUAUUUUCACUCAUUACAAUAUGAUAUAUGUGCAUUUUUAUUUUCAUAUAAAAUAUGAAUUUGCAUAAAUAUACGCAGUCUAUUGAUAAAUCUGAAUAUUUUUUAUUUGAACACGGUCGCUGGAUACGUCUCGUAUCGGUGUCGACAUGUAUUUUUAUGAUACGCGUAACGAUGCUGACUCGAAUGCGAAAUAUAAAUAAAAAUCAGAUUUUGUAAGCAACUUUCAACGUGUGCAAAAUUUUGCGAUAUGCAAAUAAAAUUCCAUAUGAAACUUAUUCGUAAGCACAUAACGUGAAUCAACAGAAAUAUAUAAUCAAUAGAAUAAAAGGGAAUGAAAUCAACGGUAAACGUUUGAAACAAAUAAUUUGUGGUUUUGCAAUUCAAGAGUUUGCUUAAGAUUCCAGUUCCGUGGAACUCUGUACGAUUACACGUUUAUAUAUCGGAUAAAAGUUGCAAAAUUUGUUCGAUGUAAUAUAUUCGACUUUUCGAAUCAACUAAUAAUUACCAUAAGGAUUUACGACUUGAAAACCGAUAAGGAAAGUUUAUCGAGUCCAGUUCAUUAACGUUGUUUCAAAAGUACAAUCUUUCCUGUCUUCUUCUCAGCCAUUGAAGUAAUACAGUUUGAACUGUUUGAAGUUGCUCGGUAAAUCACAUCGGAAUUUCUUCUAAACGAGGACAAUAAGGUUGCCAACAGAUUUAAACAAUUUUCUACUUUUUUACAAUACGUCAAAUGGAUAACAAGAAGUUAAUUUUCAUUUCGUUAUAAAGAUUUGGUCCGAACUUUGCAAUACUUUUUUUUUAAUAUUUCUCAACGAAAUAACAUUUUAAAUAUAUCUAUUCAAUAUUCUAUCAGAAAGAAAGUUACAGAAUGUUACUAGUGUAUAUAUAUAUUAGUAAUUUCUGUAUCAGAGAUUUUUUACUAUCUAACACAUUUAGAAACUAAACUAAUCAACUUCAUUUCCUUCGAAAAAUUCCUUAAUCAUAAUAUUAAUUGAAUAUUAAUUUAAUUCUUCAGAAAUGGAAACAUUAACCGGAAAGAUUUAAUCUUGCAUGGAAUUGGCGAAACGUGAAUUUUGUUUCUGUAUAAUACAGAUACCGCAGUUAUUCAUCGCUUCUGUCAAAUAAAAUUCCUUUUUAUAAAAUUAUGGCGUUUACAUCUGUUUCUAUAUCUAUAUAUAUGAUGUAUUGUAUAUUCUUGAAACUUCCUGUUGCCCGCUGCUGUAUAUUUAUCAGUCGUCUUGUACGUAACAGUUCUCGUAUUCCGCUGCAGACAAUAAUAAGCAGAAAAAUAAAUGUUGAGUCGAUGUUGUGUUGCUAGCUCUUGCAAGUAACUGCUUUUGAUGCGCAUACGAACAGCAAGUAUAAAUCCCUGAUUGAGAAUCGGACUAAGCACGUCAGCAAGCGACUCUGGAAACCCAAUGUAGUAACGUCGAGUUCAUGAUUCCCAAGACGUGCAGAACAAACUAUUUUGCGGACUCGAGAUAAAUCACGCCCAAGACUUUGUUGCAAGAAACUUGGGGUUGCUAGAUUUUGAAUUUGUACCGAUAUAACAAGGUCUCUAUUCGUUCGUUUCUCGAUCCUUCUUAUAGCUCAUGGCAAAUAUCUUAUAUCGUGUCGUAACAUAGAUGAAGGACAAUCGGUUAAGCACAGUAUUCUACGAUAUUAAAAAUUCAUACAAUUUGUCUAUUCCACAAAUACGAAUCUUUAUGUUCUGUUCCUAUUUUGUUUCUAAGUAUCUACGUAUAUUUCUGAUCUGACGAUAAUAACAGGAUGAUAUCUCUCCAAUAUUAUUGACUAAAUUAGUCCAGAAAUUUAAAAAUCGAGUUUCAAGUUUCAUUAGAAAUUGCUUUAUACGUCAAAUAUAAAGUCGAAUUAGUAGUAGUAAUACGAAUUGAAAUUAAUAGAAAUAUCAUAUCAAAUUGUACAUAAAAGCUAAGAGUAAAAAAUGUAAAAUGAAGAAUAAAACAGGUUUAUUCCAAAAUAAAUUUUCGCUUUCAAUUUUUUAUAUUCUAAAAGAUGUAUUCCAUGUAUUGUAUCUGUACCGGCGUGCAGCAAAAAUAGUGUCUUCGUUAAUUUACAGAGUGAUAUUGUUCUGAAAUAUUUUUAUUUCUUACGUUAACGCUUAAAUAGAAACUUUCGUAAUCUAGAAAUUAAGAAAUAAAUAGCAAAAGCAACGUCAAUUUCGAUUAGGCCAGUUUUUGUCUCCUCUAUACGUAGAUAUACGAUAUUUAUAUUUAAAGGAAAUAUCACGGAGAUCUGAUGUCUCCAAAUAUAAAAAUUAUACCAGCAAAUUGGUGAUGUGAAUAACGAGUUAAUCAGAAAACUGUCAAAAUAGUAGAAACGACUAAUUAAAAAUUCUACACAGAAACUUUCUAGAUAUUCAUUAUUUACAAGAAUAUAUUUUUCGAAGAUUUACAUCAUUUUUAGAACGAUAUAUGGAUAUUGGUUUGUAACUUUUCAUACGUUUCAUAUAUUUAAAUAUUUUUCCAAUCCCGUCUCUUCGACACAGAUUUUACAUUUUCAUCAUAAUCCCAGUAUUAAUGAUUAUCGUACGUUCUCAAAUUAUUCGCGCAUUUUUUCCAAUUCGCCCGCUAUCGAUCCAAUUCGAUGAAAAAGAAAAAUUGUUUCUAAACGGAAAUGUGUACACGCAUUCGUUCUACGAUCAAUCGUUUCUCGGUUAUUCGAGUUUGAUUCCCGGAUUGACCUCCUUCCAUGCUCAACUUACAUAUAUUACCUUACGAGCUUCCGUUUAAUUGAACAAAUACUAUAUCUCGGCCGAAUACCGAUGCGGAUAACAUUUCCCUUCGUCUCCGCUGUCAAGCUGGGACUUUUCCCUUUUUUCAAUUACCUUUCGGGGGCUUCGGCGGCGGAUAACAUUUCAAAUACUGAUCACUUCCCUUGCGUUAUCAAUUACAAUGGUUGCCGGGGGAAUACCCUCAAGUACCGGCCUCCGUUAUCUUACUGCUGUUGUUCCUCGAGUUUAUUAUACCAUAAGGCGUUCCCGUAAAACAUCUUGGGACAAUUCGCGCGAUAUUUGUUUGGUACUUUAACAAGUGCGAUGUUCGAAACAAUUACGGGACCACGUUUCUGGACAAUUUAGAGGAACAAGCCGAAUGUCGGGGAUGAAGAAACUGCUAUUAGUAGAAUGGUAUGUGUGAUAUAUUGUGGUAAUGCAGCAGCGUAGUAAUAUAGCAUUACGAUAAUAUAGGAUGGCCUGGCAACGGGGAAGAAUGUGAUCCCUUGUGCGAGAGUAAGUCAAAAGUGGAGAGUUAUCUAAUAACUUGAAAUUAUUCUCGUGAAAUUGCUUUUCACCAAAAGGUCAGGCUUAUUGAUUUUUGCAACGAGAUAAUAGUACGCCACGGAUAAUAGAUAGUUUGAAUAAUGCGGACUACUGUUAGAUUUAUGAAAUACCUUCAUCACGAGUAUUUUAUAUAAUUUUCCGUUGACGAUGCUUCGCAGAAAAAAUUAGAUACAUGAAGCUCAGAUGUAUGUACGAUCCCAUCUCGUAUAAUAAUAUAAAUGUGCUAUCAUAGUCAUAUAUCGUUGUAUUAUUUUCGUAAUGAUAAUAUACGUAGGAUGCCUUUUAAACAUUGAAAGCUCCAAGUACCAAACAGUAAGCCCUGCUGGCCCAAUUUCAGCCACGAUAAUAUUAACCAAAUAUCGUACGAACUAACCAUCUUCCGUUAACAAAGGAAAACCUAUUAUAAAUAAUUUAAAUUUCUUAUUAGAAGAAAUUUCGUACAAAAAGUAGAAAGAGGGAAAACAAGCGAGAUCUGGAAUCUUUGUGACCGAAGACAAAUAGCCGAUAAAAGGAUCCCGGAAAUAGGCGAUCUACUGAUGGACGCUCGACGACGCGACGAUCUAAUUUGGCUGGCAGAAGGCGGUAUUAAGCGGGGGCCCGAGGACUGUCGGUAAUUAAUUCAUCGACGCAAUGCUGGUCCUCGGUAGAAAGUCUGAAGGAUCCAACAGUCGAUUCUCGGCUGUUUGCUUUUAUCCUUGUCGCCCGACACCGAUCCUCUCGUCUUCUUCUCGCCAACCUACGCCUCUUUUCCUCACGGACCAUCGGCGAAGUUCGUUCGCAGAGUUUAACCAGGGCUCCGCUAUCGACCUGGCGAGCAACCUCGGCGUCUGCGUCGAUGUCUGCGUCGCGCAGACGCCCCGACACGGGCCGGGUUCCCUCCAAUCGAUUUCAGAUUUUCCAGCAUAACGAGGCCGACUGCUGCCCAAAAAUUCCUCUACGCGCACCUUCCUUCUCUGUCUCGUCUUCUCCGCCAGGGCUGUCAACCCCUUUCACUCUAUUUCUCUCGCCUGUUUCUUGCACUUUCGUCCCCCUCCUUUUCACCUCUCCCCCUCCUUUUAUACUGCCGCUCUGGCUUUUCUACGGGGCCACGAAAGUGGCCCCUGCCGAUCGAUUUUCGAUACGGAUAAUUGUGGAUCCAACGUCCAACGUCUAUUGAAAGUUUCGUUUUCUCGCUCUUCUUUUUUCUUCUCUUCUCUUAUCCCCUCUAGUUCUUUUCCUUUCUUUCACCUGCUUUCUUCUUUCUCGUUGUCACGCUCGCGGAUUGUUCGCGCAUAAUCCGAGUUCGAUUCUUUGACGAGAGUCCGAUUCACCGGGAUGCUCUUUCUUCGAUUGAUUUCCACGAAACUUUGCCCGGCUUUUUUUUUCCUCGAGGCGUUGCUCCGAAAGGUGACUAAGAGCGAAUUGUUCUCUGAUUCUGAUAAUCGAGAGCGUCAGAUUGCGCUUCGAACUAGUUAUUCCGUUAACAAUUACCAUCGUCUGGCUCUUAGUAAUUAGCUUUUUAAUUCGAUCAACAGUCUCGUCACGCGUUUAAAUAAAUUUAGACGGCGUUCGAUAUUUUCCGGUUGGCAAUAGGUUCCCUCGUAAAGAGCAAGACAAAGGCAUCCGGCCAAUCGUAGAAAUUAUGUCGACGGUGCAAAGGCGGACUGGUACGAACGAGUCGAAAUAAAAAGGCAGAAGGUCAGUGGGUUUCGAGUAUCAGAAAAAUCUUUUCGAUCGUCCCUUCGCGUCGCUCGUCGUGUCCCUCGUUUCGUGUUUCAAGAAGAUAGUAGAAACGUUCCGAUUAUGGUCAGACGUGUGCCGCAUAUAUUCUCUAGUCUUUCAACGGUAAAACGAUCGCUAUCGUUUCUCUUUUACCUCUAUCGUGAUCUUGACACGUUUCAUCCUAACUGCUAUCGACGAUAGAGAAGGUGGAUGCAUUUGAAAAGUGUCACGGGACUUUUUUUAUUUCGCAAACUACGGCAAACCGGCUGAAUUUGUAAUACAAGACAAGUCGAUACUAGAUGGCUCCUUCUAACUCGUCAAUCAGAAACGCAAUGACCUAUCCAUGUCGACGAUUUCUCACAUUUUUGAACGCAACUUCUUCUUUGCUUUUUUUCUUCUCGUCCUCUUUCUCUGCUUCUCUGUCAAACGUACGAGUUUCUGUAGCAAGUUACUUGGCGCGUUUCGUCAAUUUCUCCUUCGUAACAUUCAUGCGCUACAACGUACCCGAUAGCUCGCGAGACUCGCGUAAAUAAUAAAAAGCCUCUCGAAUCCGCCGGUAACAAAUAUCAUGCUAGAAUUUUAAUUUUCAAUAUUGCCUCGAAAUUUCAGACGCGCCAUCCGUUCGUCUCCGAUAUCGUAUCUCAUUCCGUACAUGUUUAUGCAUUUUUAUUUGCAUCCGAGUUGCCGGUGUAUUCAGGGUUAAAAUUUCGUAGUCGUCACCCCUCCGAGGAUCUACUCCACCCUCUCUUUCUCUCUCUCUCUUCCUGGUUGCACCCCUCUGUGCCAUUGCAAGAACACGCUUAACCCGGCCGAGUCGCGCAAUGGAAAUUCUGAUUGCGAUCAAUCAGCUUCCGCUGCUUCAGAUCUUCUGCUACUGGGAGGAACAAUAAAGCUGACGUCCGCCAAAUGCGUCUCUGACCUCCUUUGUACUUCCAUCAUUGUUUUCCACCGGAAAGCACUCGUCUGUUUUGCCCUAUUGCCGAUGCGGAACGAACGCACCGUGGGAAGCUCGUUACACGAAUAUCUUGUGCCCUUUCCUUGUUUAUGGAUUACAAGUGGCUUGGCUUGAAUCUCUAUCGAAAUCAAGGGUCGUUCUUCGUUUCGUCCCUUUUUCUAUAUAAUCUUACUCAAAGGAGGGAUACUUAACCAAAUCGAUCGUUCAUUUUUAUUGACUGCCCGGUGGCAGAUACGACGAAUGAGCAUCAGAAGCUACGGAGAACGAAGAGACGAACAGAUGGAAAUUCAAUUUGAUUCGAUUAGCGAACCAAAGUGGAAGGGUAGGGAAAGAGAGAGAGAGAGAAACAAUUGUGGCCGUGGUUCGAAUUCUCGAGUGACCCUAUCUACUCUGGAUGAUCACGACCCGAGAUUUCGAUAGUCAUUCGAUACCAGCCAUUUAGACGGUUUUCGAUGCUUCCAGUUUUCCUGUAAUGAUAGAUACGAGCGGGGCUAGAGGCCGAUUCUCAUCGAGAAUUUUCCGCGUCCGCGGACAGACGGUUCUGAGAGAGAAAUGCAAUGUUUAUCGACAACGUCGAGAGACUCUUAUUAUAUUUUGACGCGCGAGAGACCGAGCUUAGUCAAGUGAAAAUGACGUUAAUUAAUAAUAUCGACGGGAUAGAUAAAAGAAUUUCUCUUUCCGAUUAUAGCGACGAUUUUAAAAAGGGGUAAUUAAAAUCAUUUUUUUCUCAUUAUGGUAAAAAAAAAAGAAAAAGAAGGAAGAAAAAACACGUCACGGUUGACGUUCGGUCUUGUUUUAAAGCUUUCCCCGCAGCAAUCCUUUAGCAACGUCCAAUUUUAUCAAAUUAGAGACCACUUUGAGAACGAAGACGCGACCUCCGGCCACGAGUUUCUGUUUGACUUCUAUUUAAACCUCCAGAGAGUUCGUCCACCCUUUGGCCAUUACCGUGGCCGCAGUGUAUCCUUUUAAUAAUCCACCGUGUAUAGUUUCGCUGUUGAUACUGGCACGAUUUCGCAGUUAACGAUAAAUAUCUGAUACGCCGCGAUGGAGAACAGCGUCGCUGAAUAUUUCGCGUAACGCUUAUUCACCGAAUAAUAAGCUUAUUCGCCGAAACGAAUGCUUUCUGGCUGAAUAAUUGGACUGACCUACUUCAAAGGGCUCGCUAAUUACGUAAAGAUAUUAUCUUAUUCGCGCGGAACCAAGUAAAUACAACCACUACGGCUCAUCUCCUUCAAUCUCGGAACGGUUUACUUUUCGGUUCAGGAUUUCGAUCCUCUUGUACUACGUGUUCUUUACUUUAGAAACACUUGCAUAAUGUUCUCGGAAGGUUAUCGAUAUUUACAGCAUAUGGGUUUCCACUAAACUCAACUCGGAAAUUUGAACGAAUCUGAAUAAUUCGAAUGCCGGGCCGCGUACUCUGAUUAUUUGAAAAAUCUUGACAAGAUUGGAUCCAUAUGAAUAAUUUAAGCGGUUUCAAAGCUCGACCGGCUCGCUUCUGCUGAAGGUACUCGAAUUAAAACAAUCAGUCGAGUCCCUUUGUAGUAUAUUUGAACAGUACGAAGUUGUAAUAUACGAAAUAUGUCUACGCAAUAUAUAUUCGAUUAAUUUAACUCUUUUGCAGUAUAGCACGAGAAUGAGUGAGAUUAAAUUUCACUUUUUUUUUUUCAAUUAUUAUAGAUACCGAAUGUAUUACAAUUUGUUUCUUAUGAAAGAACUUUCGAAGGUAUGUAUUUGGUAUAUUGAUAUCAAAACUGCAAGAGAAACCUUGGCUAUGCAGAAAUAAUUAUUUUCUAAGGCUUUCGCUGUCAAUUCGCCAAUUUUAUUUUAUUAUACGUACCUGCGAGAAAAAAAGAUUUCUUAAAGUAACGAAACGAAUCAACAUGCUGCUGUGCCUGAAGAAUGAAAAAUCAUUAUCUAUAACACCAAUAAGCAUUCUUGUUAUCACUUGAAAUCUUUCAAUUGUUUCAAAAUCGAUCAAGCAUAUCGGUGAAUUUAUGUUAUUCGUUUGAUCUCGAAUAAUCUGAAUAUAAGCAAAUUUCCAAUCACACGGACCAAUCAUUCAAAUAUGAAAUUACCCCGUACUUAUUCGAAUAUUCAAAGUAUUAGCGCGAUAAUCGAGUGUCGUUCAGUUUGAAUUUCAAAUAUCUAGACAGCUCUAUAACAGCGUUCGCUUUCCACCCCUGUCAUACGUUCCUACGGAUAGAGUAUCAUGCUACAUGAAACCUGUACGGCGAAAAAGGAGUAUCAAUUUCAUUUAAUUAAACUCAUUUAAACGUAAAUGAAAAGCGUUCCCGUUCGCGCGGCCGUCCGGGAUUCUAUUUGAGCACCAUAAUCAAAGGAGUUAAUUGACUUCGCCGCGAAGCCAGUAACUUCUCGUCUUCUUCCGACUUCGAAUCGUAUCGACAGGAUAUCGAUCCUUUUAUUCCUUUCGAACGGAAUAAAUCAGAAAAGUGUAUUACGUUCUGACGCAUGAUAGCCCUAGGCCCCAGAAUUCGUAAACCCUAUGGGUCACUCCAUAAAUCAACCCCUUCGAGUAUGCCAAACCAUCACCCUCUACAAUAAAACUCAUUUCUUGCGAAUCAAUAUUUCAUCCGCUGCUCAAAUCCUUUAAUUCAAUGAUCGAACAGCUUUCUGGGAAAAGCAUACGUAAGACAAAAUAACGAAUUGCGUUCAGAUUGCGACUUUUAACAUGCGUAUACGUUACACUUAAUUCAGUAGAAUCAAAGCAAUAUGAGAAAAAUAAAUUACAAGUUCUCGGUAAAAGUAAGCAAUCGUGUUAACAAAGAUAGUUGCAUAUUUUCAUUAAUUGCAGAAACAAUCGUUUCCAUUAGUUUAGCCAGAACACGUUUAAAUCGAUAAUUUCUAUAUUUUAUAUUUACAUAUUUUACAUUUGUAUUGAUAAUUCUGUAUGUACCAAGGAAAUAAAAAUUCUAUAAUAAUUCGACCAUUUGAUUAAAAAAUACGCUCCACUCCUGUGUAUAUUUACCAUUGACCUAUAGAUUCCUUUUUCAGGAAGCUUUUCAAUUAUUUCCCUCGUUGAUUCUAAAUUGAUCAAUCACGUUACACUAUGACGCACGUAUAUAUAAAUACUUCGCUAAGUCAAUAAGAGUUAGAUUUUGUACUAAAUUCAACUUCGACUUUAUCUCGAUUAAACUGCAAUCCUAUUUUGUGUGUCAACGUUGAAACAGCGAACAAAGCUGGUCUUAAGGAAUACAUACUAGCACAAACCGCGCACAAUAUCAAUCAGUUUCGACGAAACUCUGCUACAUCCGAGUGUAACAAUGACAACGGGUCAGUCGGUCGAACUUACAACUUGUCAUCAGCCACGUUCAUCCAGUGUUUUCGAAGACAGUUAACUAGGCAAGAAGUUCGUCGGUUACUGACGUUUCCGGUCGUUUCGGAUUUUAUAGAACUAGAGGUCGUAACCAAGGCUCAAACGUUGGCUGAUUUCCACCAUUUAAGCCUCUCUUCUUCCUCGCAAAAUUAGUUAACGCUUCUGAAAAACAUGACCAGGAGUAUUGCCUUUCGAAACGAACUUGGAAAACAAGCUUGUAUCGGUUCACCCGUACAGAAGCUAUAAAAGGAACGAGUUCUGACGCAAGACGUUAAUCAACUCACUGGUGAAGGAUUUGCUGUCAUUCAUCUUGUUUAUCGUCUAUUGGUGAAAAUCCAUUGCCGAUAUAUGUAUGUAUAACGUAAUCGAUAGGAGAAUACGAAGAUGAAUAAGCGUGAAAUAUAGCAACUGUAAAAUAUAAUAUAAAGAUAUCGAUGGAACUAAAUGCAAAAUAAAAUGGAAUAAAAGAGUUUUGAUGUAUCGUUUCGAUAUAUUGAUGUUUUGAAAAAAAAAAAAGAAGAAAAAGAAGAUAAUUGAUCUAUGGGGAACGAGUUUAGGGAGAUUCUGUUGCAUAAAGAUAAAUAUUAUACGAAAUAAAAAUACGAGUGUCGAUAUGAUCUCAUUUGGAUACAUAUCGGCCUGUUUCCCAACCGUCUUCCUAGUUAUACAUAAAUAUUGAUUUUCUCGAGCAAUCGAGAACGUUCAAUGCGGCCGUAUGUAACCUCGAAAGGUCCUUGACAUUUUUACGUGCUUCAAGAAUAUAGAUACUAAUUGCGGCGAGCGAAAGUAUUGUUACAGAUAUGGUAGGAUCGCUCAUGAAAAAGUCAACGCAUGAUAUAAUCUAUCCAUAUUGUUUCAUUUAUGUAUAUGUCAUAGCCUAAUAUCUUCAACAAAGAUACAUGAAUCGUGCGUAUAAGAAAUAUAGGAAUGAAAUGUUAAUGGAAAAUAAAUGAUUGAUUGGAAUAAGACCCUGUUCACUAUGUAAUUAUCGUAGCGAUUAGCGAUUACUUUUUAAUAAUUUCGAUAUUGCGAGUAAGAUGAAAUUAUGUGGAAUAACGCUUGAAAUGUAUUCUGGAUGAAAUUAUGAAUUUUAAUAUCUUUAAAUGAAUUUCUCCCUUAAUAAAGAGUUUUACCAGUACGCGCCAUAACGUUCGCUUUUGUUUUAACGAAUUAUUACGAGGUAAUUAAUUAAAUUCAAUAAUACGUUUUCUGUUACUUUCCGCCUAUUUUUCAAACUUCUUCCUAGAUUGACAUUACGCUUUCAAAUACUCAGACGAUUAAUUACAGUGGAUAAACUUUCCUACGAAAAUUAUGAAAAUCGAUAUCUUCGAAAAAUACAUUGUUUUAAGUUUCGAAUAUGUUGCGAAUAAAAUAAACGAACUUCUAAAUUUCAUAGUAAACGAAAAAUGAAAUACGAAUGAAUUACACUGAUUCAGCUUUAAUAUGUCUAACUACGACUUAUGAAAGUAUCUGCGGACAUUAAAUACGAAGUAUUAAAUAUGAAAAUUAUAAAACAGCUUUAAUACAUUUACUCUUUUCAUUUACUCUGAAUACUAAUGUAAUAUCCACGACAUUAAUACCGAUUAAAUUAAGCUAAAGAUUAAUACGAUAUCAAGCAACGCCGACGAGUCAUCAAUCAUGGUCAGGAGGCAGGUCCGUACUGCAAAGGUUUAAAUUGUGAACGUCGAUCGGUCAUUUAUUUUCCACUGCUCUAAUGUUAUAAAAACUAUUCCGAUACGACCGAAUUGUAAUUCGUUCAGUGAACAAACAUAUCUGGCGAAGGACUGGGAUCUGAACGGAACAGAUUCGAUGUCUUCGCCACAUCGAUCGCCGUACCACGACAGAAUACAUAUACACGAUGUCGAGGUAUUAAAUCUCCAUUGUCGACGCGCCGUCGAUACUUCUGAAUUACGCUCGACUGGCUGUUCGCACGUCACCAUUUGCAAAGCAUAAAUUCGCUUUGAUUCGCGGACGAUUCACGACACGUCGAGCACAUCCGGAAACCGCUGUGUGCUUUCACCCUUUUCCACGCCACGUUCCACUCUCGCCAGACGCACCGAGAGCCACGGCCAAUCACGAGGGACAGAGCAAUUUGUUCAGCAAAUUAGGUUAAAUCUGAAUCUUGGUGGUCUCGUUUCCCCGCGGCCUCUUGCCAUCGAUUAUCCACGCACACACGCGCCUCUCCUGCCGGAAGAAGGGGACACAAAGGAUGAAACGAGAACGCCGCGUGUCCAACCGAACGGAAAGUGGAGAAAAAUUGCGGGCAAAUUACUUUGAGUAUAUGUUACAAAUGGUGCGGUAAUAGGUCGGAUUUUUAUGUAAGAAGCUCAUUUGGCAAAUCGAGUAACCUCGUAAAAAGUGGAGAAAAUUGAUGAAAUUAUAUAAGAUAAGCGUGGAAGCUUUGCGAUUGAUAAGCAAUUAAGAAAAGUAAUUAUUAUGCGAAUUUUAAUAUAUAGGAAUUGCUAUUAAAGGGAACCAUGAAGCCUGCUUGAGAACCAGAGAGUAAUUUACGACUGAAAUAUCCAAGGUAAAUAUUAAACGCAGAACAGUUAAUAGGAAUCGCGGAUAUGAGCUCAUGUACGAAAAACAGAGAAUAAAAUCGUAUCAAAUUCAUACAAAUUAAAUGUAGUAUAUAAAUUUAUACGACGUAAGUACAUAAUAACGAAAUAUGGAAGCACCGUUAUUUUCAUGCAUAACAUAAUUCAGCGUAUUUUAAUCAUCAGCGACGUUAAAAGUCUGUUUAUAUUUCGAAAUUGUUUAAUAUCCAAAUAAAUUAACUGAUUAAUUAUCCAGACGUUUAAUUAAAUGAUUUAUCGUUAUUAUAUGACAACGCGUUAUUGACGGCAAAAAAUGGAUUGUACGGAAUGAUGCUGCAGGUUAAUAACGUCUGUCAAUAUCGAUAAAUGGGUAAAAAUGGAUUUAGCCGAAUUUUCUCCUUUAUUUUAUAAAAACGUUUAAAUGUUUAUGUAUGUAUAUGUAAUCUUGAUAAUACAAACUCUACAUUGUAUCAUGAAAGAAGCUGUCGUAAAAUAAAUGAUCACCCUGAACAAUUUAGAACCAUCUUUCCUAACAUGAGAUUAUAUAGAUCCCUCUUUCUCUUUUUCAAGACGUAUCUAAAUAAUUGAUAAUCAAAAUUUCGACUCAUUUGUAGAAAUAUUGCAUGUACGCUGAUGCCCCUCGAGUCUUAAAUAAAUUAUCUAUAGCGGCAAACUACUGCAAAGCUUGUAGCAUUUUCUUAACAUUAAAAUUUCCAAUUUUCUCUGUUUACAAAUCCUCUAUGUACAUAGAUGUUUUUCACAUUCUAAAUAGUUUACUUGCAGCAGCAUAAUUUUCCCUAAUUUCUAAUCUGCCCCGGUAUUUCGUAAUCUCCAAUUUUCCUCUCUUGAUAGUCCCUAAUUUCAAAGCUCUCUUUGCCUGGUAUAUAUUUCGUAACCUCCAAUUUUCUCUUCUCAACAAUAUCGCUCCGUUUCAACCCUCGUAUUAUUGUUUCCCUUGCAUAUUUUCGCACCGGUGUUAUCUCGAUCCUUUUCAACACGUAUAUGCUUCUCGUCAGAAAUCCAUAUUCCAUGAUCAACCUUACGUCAAGCCACAGAGACGAGAAAAAAAGGCAAUGUCAUCGGCGAAGGAACUGAAAACCGUUGUCAUCGGUCGGCGAGCAAAAAGGAUCAUCGUCUUCGUACGUGGCUUCGAAGAAAAGAAGCAUACGUGGGCGCAAGGGAAGAAACGGUGCACGUACUCGGGAUAGAAGAAGUGGUGUCGGCCAUUUAUCGGCAGGAUUUACUGUUCUACGUCCCUCCUCUCUACCGAUUGUCCGUGAAUUCGAACGGUUAUAUCACUGGAAUUUCAUUUCUGUCCGACUGCGGGACAUUACCGUCCGUUUGCUCUGUCCCACGAGUUGUGAGAGAUUUUCCUGUCCGCCACCCUCAUAAUUUCCCCUCUCCGCCGUCUCUGCCAUCCUUCAAGGACCACCGGGAUACCUCAAAACGACGUACUUAGUAGCCGGCGAAAGAACAACCGUAUAUAUUUGCGGGAAAAUGCAAAUCAUCCUCGAUAUGAACGAAAUCAAUCAUCACGGUUUGAUUUAAAUUUUCCAUCGCCAAGUAACUAACAGGAUGUUGCGAGUUUUAAGCAAACUAAACACUGUUCUGUGCUAACUAGGCGAGUUUUUAUAGACGAUAGUAUCGAGGGACGAAUGGUUUUUUUGAACCGUUCAACUUGGACUUUAAGCGACGAAGUUUUAUUCCUUGUUGGUAUAAUCGCGGAAUCGACGGCAGUUCCUUAGUUUUAUUAAUGCUGCGAGCAGCUUUGUUAAAACUUGAGAGCAGACGGGCUCUUUGUAGAGUACACCGAGUGUAACGGAGAGAUUACCCUGACACGGUUGCGUUAAAAAUCAUAUCGAAAUUUUUCAUUCUCUACCGUUUUAAUUCAAAAGUAUAAGCGUUGGCAAAAAGAUAUUUGCGUUACAUAAAUAACGAUAGAUAAUUAUUACGCACUUAAUUCCGUUGACAUUUUUCUCAAAAUUUUUUUUUAAAUUGUACAAGUUCGACUUCUGGAAUUAUUCGAAUACGAUGUUCCUAACAAAAUUCUGGUUACCUAAUUCACUUUUCCGACUCGCAGAUGCCCAACUUCCCCAUACCACGAGUUCAAUACAGCAUCAAGCCGCGGAGGUCUAGCCAGUUUGCCUAUCAUAGCGGAUAAUUAAUCCGGCAAAUCAUUGGCCAAUUGCAAUUGCCAAUGCGACCACGUUAAUUAACGAUCUACAGUUAAUGGAUGGACUACAAGCAAGUGCAUUGCGUAAAACGUUGAUUUGCCAAACAUUUUCGGCAAGAAUUAUUCCAUUGACAAUUAUCACGUGCAUGGAAGCUCGUGCAUGUACGGGCACGAACGGGAUCUGCUAUUUUCAUGAGAGAGGUCAACGCCGAAGCCACGUACCAGUAAUAACAUUGCAGUCUAUGACGAUGCUUAUUACGAACCCGAUAUAGUGCACACGAAGUCAGAUACUGCAGAAGUAAAACUAGACGUUCUUGUAAAAAUGUCUCAUACAACAAAGAAAAAAAGAAACUAUCGUAAUUAGGAUCAUAAAGGAUAACAGGAGCUGUAGCAAUCGGUUUCAUUCUCUUGCCCACCUUUUACCUAUUUUCUUCUAACGCUCACGAAAAUUAACACGGACCUUCUGUAUCGUGCAAAUCCUUUGUUACUUUCAAGAUUAAGAACCGUUACAUGCGCUUUCAUUCGCAGAUUUUCAAGUCGAACUUAAUAUGUUUAUAUACGUAUAAAUAUAUCUAUGUGAAAUAUAAAAAUAUAUAAAAUAGCCCACGAAAAUGUGAUCCAAUUACUUUUAUGAACGGAAGCUUGACAUUAACACGGACAACAGCUACGAGAUUUAUCUGAAUUUCAUCUGGAUGAAAGUCUAGGAAGUCGUUGACUUUAACUUUGAGAUGUUAGCGUACGGCUUCUAACAGACUCAAGGUUCCAUUGAUAUCAAAGUUUUAUACAUAGAAUCCAAUAACUAUGCGGUGCACGUGUACGGAUUUAAAAGAUUGCUUAUAUUCUUAUAACUUCAGUGUUCUGGUGUAACAGUCUAAUAUAUAGUUCCAAGAACCUUAACAAAAAUCUUUUUUAAAUUCUAAUUUUUCAAUUUUAUAACAACAAGAUGAUCUUCCUUAAUAAAUGCUUUUCUUCGAUUUAUUAAAAGAAAGGAAAUAAUAUGAAAUUUAAUCUCCGUUGAAACUGCAUCUUUUUACCGUAAAGUUUGCUGUCUUUUUUUCAGGAGAAAAAUAUCGAGUGAAACAUUUGCGAGGAUUAGACGAAAACGUGACAUUAGGUAUAAGGUAGAUACUUAUUAUUUACUGUCAGGUAUACUGUACAUAAUAUUUCUUUUGCCUUACAAAUAUUAUAUAAAAUUACAGUCGAUCACGGAGAGUAACCUCGCACACAGUCUCACGGACACACUGAUAUACCCACACGCACGGUAGGCGACACGUACACGCGCACACAUGCACACUACACGCGAAAUACUCUAGCUCACAUACCAAGUAGACGUUAUUACAGAUUCGCGGAUCAACUCGCCAAACCUUCCUCCUAAAUUUACGUACAGAUACGUGCACGUUAUAGCUAACUUGCCUUAUAAUAUCAGAACACGUGCAUCCCUCGCGUCCUCCCGCGAUCUCUUUCCCUCGUUGGUUCACGCGUUUUCACUCCCCUUCGAUCAAAUUUUGCCUCGUGUUAUCGUUGUUUGCUAAAUGACAAAAUUUGGAAACAGAUAUUUUUGCACAAUUUGUACCGCGGUUUCUCCUUAUCGAAACACAAUGAGAAUAAUCGUAUUAAAAUCAUUUACAAGCAAAAGAGUCUGAAAAUAGAGAAUCAAGUUACAUGUAAUGCGCGCCACGUUAAAUUUGAAUUUCGAUCGUUGAUUCUUAAUUUGUUCCUUAUCUCGGUUUUUCAGGCCAAAAACAACCAGAAAGAGUUUAGGUCACACAUCGCCCGAUACCUCUAGUUUCACGAAAGACAGCCUAACGGAAGAGAAAAAGAAGAAGAAAAAAAAAAAAAAAAGAAAAAAGGAAACUCGUGGAAAAUUACGUUUUCUAGUAAAUCCGAACCGUAUAGAGAGAAGAACAAGUGCUAUCCACUCGGCAGACACGUAACAUAACCGUUCUAUCGCAUUCCCGGCGAAUACUACGUGGGACAACCGGAACAAAGAGACAGAAGGAACCAAGGCACGGGUAAAAGGUAGGAAAAAAGCGAAAGAAACACGUUCGUUGUCCCUCUCAACGAGUGGUACUAUCGUCGUCGUGAGUUAACGGCGAAAAAAGACUGGUAUUUCAAGCGUGUACGAGACGCGCUCAGGACUCUCUUUCGCGUUUAUUGCCAGCUUCUAUGGGUUGUGCUCGAUGGAAGGAAAGAACGAGAGGGACGAUAGAAGGUGGAACAAGGUGUCGCGCGUUACGUGCAUCACCGUGUUUCGAUCGUUCGUUGCGUUCUUCGUCUCCGUGGCGGCGGCGGCGGCGGCUAUUUGGCUCGUUUCACGGUGCUUCGUUCGCUAAUCCCUGCUCUGAUUAGGGCGCGAAAACACGCGAUCGGACGUAAACAAGAGGAAAAAAAAGUCUAUUCUCCUCGAUAGAGAUUUCUUCGAUGGUCUGUAAAAAGAACCGGAUGGACGCAAUGAAAGGAAAGCCGGAAACUCGCGGGAUCAAAGAGGAGAGCGCUGUUUCGUGGAUCGUCGCGCAAUUAUCCGCACGCGCGCCCAGAGAAACGCUCCUUCUUGGUACACGCUCGAAGGUUCCCAUUGAAUCUAUCGAAACUGUCGUACGAUCGUCCUGGUUCCAUGUGUCCGGAACGACCGUUAUGGGUGCAAGUUUUUCGCUUCGGGACCGGAAACUUGCGCCAUAGAGAGACCCGUUACGAGUUACAUCGAGGGAAGUUCGAGUUGCGAGAAGAAACGUGGUUACGUCUACAAGACGCGCAUUCCGAUUCGUGGUGCCACAGUCGUAACGAAGAGUUCUGCGAUACGCGUUAUCCGUCCUUAAGGUCGAGUGGCUUUCCUCGUGGCGGAUUUCCGCUCUUCGCGUAUUCGUCUCUCUGACAGUACCGACUGAUCGUUUCCCUUGCGUGAUUCUGUAAACUCAAUCCGACCUUAUCUUCGACACCCACCCAAGCACACAUGCGCGUUUAGUACGCGCGACGCAUCGCACCCUUGCAACACACGCAGCCAGGCAACGACACAAACAGAUAGCGGAAGGAUGAACGCGCGAAAGAAGGUCUGAACGCAGCGCUACGAUACGCUACCUAUGGAAAAUCGCGACGGUGGCCGCGUUUUUGGCCACGCUGGAUGGACGUACAGGAGGAUAAAGGGAAUCGAAAGGACUGAGAAAAGUACGCGCUGAAUGAGAGCGAGUGGAAAGAGAAAGGUGAGCGUGGCAGGAUCGUGAAAUCGCUGAGAAAAUCGUUCCGUUUCGUGAAAAUUCACCAAUGGAAAAGAACGGAGAUUUUCAACGGAUUUCGUGAUCUACGCGAACGAAGAGAAAAAAGAUUGAAGCUAUACCGAUCGCCGUAAAUUUCUCCGUUCUCUUCGAUCCUUUUUAUACAGAUAUACAUACAUAUAUAUAUGUGUGUGUGUAUAUAUAUAUAUAUGCGUGUGUGUAUAUACGCGCAGUUUAUUCGGUUUUCGAAGCGUUUUUGGAAAACGCGCGAUCUUGUACCAACACAUGCAUGUGACGAUGUAUCGACUCGCGGUGUUCGAACCGAGCGACGUAGAAACGAGCCGCUUAUCGAAAUUCUUUUUUACGCAUACCUACACAAUUUUUGCACACGUCUUCUACGUACAUAUAUAUAUAUAUAUAUAUAUAUAUAUACAAUCAUAUAUUUAUAUAUGUAUAUGUAUAUCGUCCUUCGUCUGCGACACAUCAUCAUGCCUAUUCUCUUUAACUCAUUCUACGUUUAUCACACGUACACGCUCACUAUUUUGUUCGAAGAAAAAUAACAGGUAUGUAUAUUAUACAUAUAUAUGUACACACACACAUAUAAUAUAUAUAUAUAUGUAUAAAUACAAUGAACGGAGUAUCCAAGUACGUCGCACAAACAUCUUCCUUCGUAGAAGGGAACUACGAACCGGCGCAUCCGACGCCAACACAUUUUUCUUCUAUCUAGGCAACGAUCUGCUAAAACGAAAGAUCAGAAUUCGAUACAUCGAACGAUCGACUAACUUCCUCUUAACAGAAAGGGAGAUAACAGGGAGGAAGAGAGGGAGAGAGAGAAAAAGCACGACGAAAUUGGAUACUCCGUUCGCGCGAUCGUGAUCUUAGAUUUUACGCCAAGCACAAAUGGGAAGAACCUUUCAAUAUCCAGACGUUUCGGUGUAUAAUCGUUGAACAUUGGAUGAUUCCGUUCCAUCGUUUCCCCCUCAGCCCUCGAUCGAUACCAGACACCUCGAAUUUCGCAGUUUCGACAACCCUCGUCGACUUUCCUCGACCACCUUCCACGGCGUCGUUCGCAGUGUAUUUCGUGCAUUUUCCAUUCUCACGCACGAUGCUCGUAAAACGAAAAAACCGACCGCGUGUAUACUGCAGGUACUUGGCGCGAAAGUACGCCCUCACGUUGGCGACGAUCGUUCGACGAAUGGUUCACGAACGAUCGCCGACCAGGUCGAUACGUGUGAACGAUAAAAGAUAGGUUUCCUCGAAGACACAGUCGAAUCACUGUCGCAUCUGUAAUUGUAAUAAGCGUAUUUCGUAGAAUUGGGCCAAAAAACUAGAACGAUACUUUCUCUUGUUGUCUCCGUAGUUAUUUAAGCGAUCUCAAUUCAUCGUUUUACUUAGCAUCAUGUUCGAUCGAGCUUUUAUUUCUUUAGAAGAGAUCGGGGAGUAAAGUCGAUGCGGGUUUAGAUUCUGGUGAUCGUGCUCUAAUCGUUGGACCAACUCGAGCGAGUAUGAUCCGUGAAACGCAGUGAAUCAAGAUCUCGAAGACAAAAAUAUAGAAUGGAGUAUGAUGAGAAUCGUCGUCGGCGUAGCCGCACGCGAUGAAGCUAAUUAGGACUUUUAGGGGCGAUAUUGUCAUGAAGAGUUCCGUUUUCUCGCGCUAUCUUAUCGCCUAUUUACAACGCACGGCGGCCCAACGCACGGCAGAGUGAAAAUCUCAUACGAAUCGAUCUUAUUCGCUCUUUGACGCGACCGAUCGCGACAAAAAUCUGAUCGAUCGCGUUUCCUUCUAUAUUUAAUCGACGACUCGAUUGUGAAUCGGACACGAUUUAUUAAACAUUAUUGCAUCGAUAACGCUGAUUCCUUGGAGAAAGCAAUUUUCAUCGAUUAUUCAACGCUAGACGGAUUUCGAAUACGUGAAAUUUUCGCUCCAUCUCGAGACGGAGAGUCGUCGAGAAAAUUGCCGGUGUCGCGACCCAUAUGUCGGUUCUUUUUCGUUCUCGUUCGCUUUCCUCCCUUCACGAUCGAGAUAGAUGAUACGUUUUGUGCGCUCAAUACUAGCACGAAACACCUUUUUUUUUUUUUGCACAGUAGAAGCGUAAUGCGUUUGCGUAAAACGAUCAUUUACAGAUAC
This is a long non-coding RNA of Bombus huntii, 19394 nucleotides long. RefSeq lists it as uncharacterized. The transcript has 2 exons. The record is from RefSeq and is a predicted model, not a curated record. NCBI's taxonomy places the organism in Eukaryota, Metazoa, Arthropoda, Insecta, Hymenoptera, Apidae.